Molecule: ribosomal RNA, 691 nt
Filed under: uncultured Staphylococcus sp.
Lineage: Bacteria; Bacillati; Bacillota; Bacilli; Caryophanales; Staphylococcaceae
Description: bacterial SSU rRNA
Rfam family: Bacterial small subunit ribosomal RNA
Source: RNAcentral
AGCGAACAGACGAGGAGCUUGCUCCUCUGACGUUAGCGGCGGACGGGUGAGUAACACGUGGAUAACCUACCUAUAAGACUGGGAUAACUUCGGGAAACCGGAGCUAAUACCGGAUAAUAUAUUGAACCGCAUGGUUCAAUAGUGAAAGACGGUUUUGCUGUCACUUAUAGAUGGAUCCGCGCCGCAUUAGCUAGUUGGUAAGGUAACGGCUUACCAAGGCAACGAUGCGUAGCCGACCUGAGAGGGUGAUCGGCCACACUGGAACUGAGACACGGUCCAGACUCCUACGGGAGGCAGCAGUAGGGAAUCUUCCGCAAUGGGCGAAAGCCUGACGGAGCAACGCCGCGUGAGUGAUGAAGGUCUUCGGAUCGUAAAACUCUGUUAUUAGGGAAGAACAAAUGUGUAAGUAACUAUGCACGUCUUGACGGUACCUAAUCAGAAAGCCACGGCUAACUACGUGCCAGCAGCCGCGGUAAUACGUAGGUGGCAAGCGUUAUCCGGAAUUAUUGGGCGUAAAGCGCGCGUAGGCGGUUUUUUAAGUCUGAUGUGAAAGCCCACGGCUCAACCGUGGAGGGUCAUUGGAAACUGGAAAACUUGAGUGCAGAAGAGGAAAGUGGAAUUCCAUGUGUAGCGGUGAAAUGCGCAGAGAUAUGGAGGAACACCAGUGGCGAAGGCGACUUUCUGGUCUGUA